UGGGGCGUAGCCAAGCGGUAAGGCAGCGGUUUUUGGUACCGUCAUGCGCAGGUUCGAAUCCUGCCGCCCCAGCCA
Molecule: transfer RNA, 75 nt
Filed under: Stappia indica
Lineage: Bacteria; Pseudomonadati; Pseudomonadota; Alphaproteobacteria; Hyphomicrobiales; Stappiaceae
Description: tRNA-Gln
Rfam family: tRNA
About the family: Transfer RNA (tRNA) molecules are approximately 80 nucleotides in length.
Source: RNAcentral